GCAGAGUAGGAUUCGGCGCGUCAAGUGCCGGCGGAUGGGAAGUUGCCGCCGGACGAAAGCAUGACACAUGCUGCGGUGCCGUCUCCGCGUCCGCUGC
RNAcentral lists this non-coding RNA (97 nucleotides) under bovine gut metagenome. RNAcentral's name for it is "THF riboswitch". It matches the Rfam family "THF (Tetrahydrofolate) riboswitch aptamer". Rfam says of the family: THF riboswitch presents a pseudoknot that joins P1-P2 and the loop of P3 and two THF binding. The record is from RNAcentral.